GACGAACGCUGGCGGCGUGCCUAAUACAUGCAAGUCGAACGCUUCUUUCCUCCCGAGGGCUUGCACUCAAUUGGGAAGGGGGGUGGCGGACGGGUGAGUAACCCGUGGGUAACCUACCCAUCAGAGGGGGAUAACACUUGGAAACAGGUGCUAAUACCGCAUAACAGUUUAUGCCGCAUGGCAUAAGAGUGAAAGGCGCUUUCGGGUGUCGCUGAUGGAUGGACCCGCGGUGCAUUAGCUAGUUGGUGAGGUAACGGCUCACCAAGGCCACGAUGCAUAGCCGACCUGAGAGGGUGAUCGGCCACACUGGGACUGAGACACGGCCCAGACUCCUACGGGAGGCAGCAGUAGGGAAUCUUCUGCAAUGGACGAAAGUCUGACCGAGCAACGCCGCGUGAGUGAAGAAGGUUUUCGGAUCGUAAAACUCUGUUGUUAGAGAAGAACAAGGACGUUAGUAACUGAACGUCCCCUGACGGUACCUAACCAGAAAGCCACGGCUAACUACGUG
This 508-nucleotide ribosomal RNA is filed under the name uncultured bacterium. RNAcentral's name for it is "partial 16S ribosomal RNA". It matches the Rfam family "Bacterial small subunit ribosomal RNA", at positions 28 to 507 of the family's 1533-position model. The record is from RNAcentral.